This 1205-nucleotide long non-coding RNA is filed under the name Fukomys damarensis (Damara mole-rat). Its description in RNAcentral is "lncRNA (ENSFDAG00000028807.1)". Lineage: Eukaryota; Metazoa; Chordata; Mammalia; Rodentia; Bathyergidae. The record is from RNAcentral.
CUGCAGUGUUAUGAGGCAACAAUGGGGACAGGCUCACAAAGAAGGACUGAGGCCUGCCAACCACCACACAUGUGAGCUCCAGGAUGGACUUGUCCUAGCUAGCCCCUGCCCCCACCCGGAAUGUGACUGGCUGCUCAUGAAAGAUGUAAUGCCAGAUGUACUGACCUAAACCAUGUCUUUGCGAUAACAGAAACAGUGAGAUAAUGCCUUUUGUCUGCUUUAAGCUACUAAAUUUUUGGCAAUUUGUUAAGCAAGAACAGAUUGAUAUAAAAAAGAUUAGAACUGAAACUAACACGGAAAUGAAAGAUGAAUGAAGAGAGAAGAAAAGGCACAGUUCUGUUUUUUUCUUCACAAGAAUCAAGCUUGAUCUUGGAAAUAAAAAGUGAAAUAUGAAAUAAGCAGUGCUCAAGUAAAGAUAUAAAAAGAAAAUAUAACAGAGAAAGAAAUCAAGCAUGGGAGACCCCCCCCACCGCCAACUCACUAGUGCUUGGGAUUUAGCUCAGUGGUUCUACCAUCUGCCUUGGAAGCACAAGGUCCCGGAGUUUGAUCCCCAGUGCCCAAAAACAAAAACAAAAACCUCACUAGUUGUUGAAAUAGCUUAAGGAUUCAUGGAGACAGAUAACCAUUUUCAGAACACAGGAGGAAUGAGGACAGAAUUUGAGAAGAGAAACCAGGUUACUCUCACUGAGUUGUCACUGGUCCCUGUUUUCAAACUUUCUGUGGCUUUGAAGCCCACAAAACAAAAACUGAGAGGGUGCCAAAAAGAGAAGAAAACGGUGCCUGUGCCCAGAUUCCAGUGUUGGAUUUUGGCAGGCAUAAGAAGAGAGAAUACCAUGCAUGAUCAAGCACAGUGACCUCAUCCCUGCGCAGAAGAGACACCAGCUGCAGGGAGGGUCUGCCUCCACCAAAUGGGAUCAUUAUCAUCAUUGCUAAUGCCAAGAAGCCCAGACAGCCUUGCACAUGUGCAAUGUGUUACAGCUCUGUGGUCUCCCUACAUUCACAAUAAAGCUGCUGUCUGGAAAAGUAAGGGCUUUGCCUUCCUAAAAAUAUUAUUAAAAAAGAACAUUUAGAUAUGUUUUAACAAAUCAAUUAGUCACUGCAGUAGCAAAGAGAACUUGCCAAGAGAAUGAACCUGGUGGUAGCCUCAUAAGUGAUUCAGGUCCAAUUGCUCCAUUUAAGGAAAACAAAGAACACUGAUUUUUCCC